This 757-nucleotide ribosomal RNA is filed under the name uncultured bacterium. RNAcentral describes it as "bacterial SSU rRNA". It matches the Rfam family "Bacterial small subunit ribosomal RNA", at positions 8 to 780 of the family's 1533-position model. The record is from RNAcentral.
AGAGUUUGAUCCUGGCUCAGGACGAACGCUGGCGGCGUGCUUUAUACAUGCAAGUCGAACGAUGAAGUUCCUUCGGGAAUGGAUUAGUGGCGAACGGGUGAGGAACACGUGAGAAACCUGCCUUUCAUUCUGGGAUAACACCGGGAAACCGGUGCUAAUACCGGAUACUCCAUCUUGGCGGCAUCGCCGAGCUGGGAAAAAAUUUUGAUGAAAGAUGGUCUCGCGGCCUAUCAGCUAGUUGGUGAGGUAAAGGCUCACCAAGGCGACGACGGGUAGCCGGCCUGAGAGGGCGACCGGCCACACUGGGACUGAGACACGGCCCAGACUCCUACGGGAGGCAGCAGUAGGGAAUAUUGGGCAAUGGGCGAAAGCCUGACCCAGCGACGCCGCGUGAGGGAUGAAGGUCUUCGGAUUGUAAACCUCUUUCAGUAGGGAAGAAGCGAAAGUGACGGUACCUAAAGAAGAAGCACCGGCUAACUAUGUGCCAGCAGCCGCGGUAAUACAUAGGGUGCAAGCGUUGUCCGGAAUUAUUGGGCGUAAAGAGCUCGUAGGUCGUUUGUCGCGUCGAUUGUGAAAAUCUGAGGCUCAACCUCAGACCUGCAGUCGAUACGGGCAAACUAGAGUGUGGUAGGGGAGACUGGAAUUCCUGGUGUAGCGGUGGAAUGCGCAGAUAUCAGGAGGAACACCAAUGGCGAAGGCAGGUCUCUGGGCCAUAACUGACACUGNNNAGCGAAAGUGCGGGGAGCGAACAGGAUUA